AAUAUGUACGCAGGAAAAGGUCCUUCGAAGGGCAAUAGAGAAGCGCGGUGAGGAGAUCCGGGAAGGUCUCCGAUUCCGCCACGGUCCCGCCGCUGUGACGCUGAGCCGACCCCAAGAAGCCACUGGAUGAAUCCGGGAAGGCGGGGAAAGCGAGGAAGCGAAGUCAGAAGAACUGCCUUUUCAUGCGUGAGAUC
RNAcentral lists this non-coding RNA (194 nucleotides) under Dialister sp. CAG:357. Lineage: Bacteria; Bacillati; Bacillota; Negativicutes; Veillonellales; Veillonellaceae. The record is from RNAcentral. RNAcentral also lists the same sequence under 1 other name.